ACACAAACAAAAGUCCCCACUAGUCGUCUGUCAAUUGUCAUUCAUUUCGCUGGCGAAGCAGCAACACUGCGCAAUUGCUUCAUCACCGCACGCAGCGCUGUUCAUAGCCGUUUAUGCAACAGCGAGGGUGAUCGUGCUACACGCGGUGCGAUUCCUAGCCCUGCCUAUAUACCUUCAUCCAUUCUGCCGGCAAAGUCACGCCAUCGCUGUGCGUAGCAUCAAUAAUCGUCCUUGUGCAGUGGCAAUGAUGAUGGCGUGCGAACAACAUCGUUGCUUAUUUCUAUGUGAAUCGAUGAUGCCAUAUCGAUGCUAGCAUAAGGUAUUAGGAUUUGACCUCAAUAUUGAUUGUGACUUGUUGUAACUUAGUCACAUACCAUCACAGUUAAGAUUGAUUUUGUUACAAAUAAUCACAUAUAACACAUGUAUAGUCACAAAUAAAUUUUUGGAGAUUUUUCUACAGUUGAGCAUAGAGAGAGAGAGAGAGAGGAUUUGUUUUCAAUUUUUGAAGAUUUUUUCAUCACCAAAGUCAGAGUAGUCGUCAGAGCGGUAGUCGGAGCGAUCACCAAAGAGGUUGUCGGAGUAGUCACUGAAACCGAUGGCCGCCUC
This 606-nucleotide long non-coding RNA is filed under the name Olea europaea (common olive). Its description in RNAcentral is "long non-coding RNA (OEUR_LNC012783)". Lineage: Eukaryota; Viridiplantae; Streptophyta; Magnoliopsida; Lamiales; Oleaceae. The record is from RNAcentral.